Molecule: long non-coding RNA, 434 nt
Filed under: Chinchilla lanigera (long-tailed chinchilla)
Lineage: Eukaryota; Metazoa; Chordata; Mammalia; Rodentia; Chinchillidae
Description: lncRNA (ENSCLAG00000024129.1)
Source: RNAcentral
AGGCCAGCUGGCCGCGGUGGCCACAGCUCAGACCCGGGUCAGAUGACCAGCCUGGCCCUGAACAAGCUGCCCAUUCAGCAGAGCCUGCAGAGAGAGAGAAGCAGUGGUGGCUCUUCGGAGGACACAAUUUGGCCAGUUCGCAUCUGUCUGAUGCCUGGAAAAGAAGGACACCCAAGUGACAUAGGCUGUGUACCCCAUGGGCCAUCACCCCAGACUCACCUGGCCUGGACUCAGCUUCCCUGACAGAGUGCUUUUGGGAGGAAACCAAGUGCCACGGAGUCCAGCUGCUUCUCUGUGGCCGUGACCUCGAAGGAGUCUGGUCUUUGUUAUCCACACCAGAACCCGCCAUCACUCCAAGUCCGGCUCAGGGUGCUCAGCAGGGCUCCAGGUCGCGCAGCAGGCUGUGCUGCCCUGUCUUCGCCCCUGAAUUCGGG